UGAAAGGUAUGCCUGUAUCCCUCUCUGUAC
Molecule: non-coding RNA, 30 nt
Filed under: Mus musculus (house mouse)
Lineage: Eukaryota; Metazoa; Chordata; Mammalia; Rodentia; Muridae
Source: RNAcentral